Molecule: small nuclear RNA, 160 nt
Organism: Pipistrellus kuhlii (Kuhl's pipistrelle)
Lineage: Eukaryota; Metazoa; Chordata; Mammalia; Chiroptera; Vespertilionidae
Product: U1 spliceosomal RNA
Exons: 1
Source: RefSeq, a predicted model, not a curated record
AUACUUACCUGGCAGGUGGGAUACCAUGAUCAGGAAGAUGCUUUCUCCAGGGUGAAGCUUAUCUAUUGCACUCUGGAUAUGCUGAUCCCUGUGAUUUCCCAAAAUCUGGAAAAUUUGACUGCAUAAUUUGUGGUAGUGGGGGACUGUGUUUGUGCUCUAU